Molecule: ribosomal RNA, 1567 nt
Filed under: Candidatus Woesearchaeota archaeon
Lineage: Archaea; Nanobdellati; Candidatus Woesearchaeota
Description: bacterial SSU rRNA
Rfam family: Archaeal small subunit ribosomal RNA
Source: RNAcentral
AUUUCCGUUGAUCCUGCGGAGGGCUGCUGCUAUUGGGUUUCGAUUUAACCAUGCAAGUCAAGGGGUCUUUUCGGAGACACCGGCGGAAUGCUCAGUAACACGUCGAUAAUCUGUCCUUAGGUUCAGGAUAGCCAUGGGAAACUGUGAGUAAACCUGGAUAUGGGAAAAUGGCUGGAAUGCCUUUUCCUUUAAAGGCAACGCCUAAGGGUGAGUCGGCGGCUGAUUAGGUUGUUGGCGGGGUAAAGGCCCACCAAGCCAAAGAUCAGUAGGGGCCUUGAGAGAGGGAGCCCCGAGAAGGGAACUGAGACACUGUCCCUAGCCCUACGGGGUGCAGCAGGUGCGAAACCUUUACACUGUACGAAAGUACGAUAAGGGAAACCCAAGUGCUUAUGCUUUGCAUAGGCUUUUGCCAAGAGUAAAUAUCUUGGCGAAUAAGUGGUGGGCAAGACGGGUGCCAGCCGCCGCGGUAACACCCGCGCCACAAGUAGGAGCCUCGUUUAUUGGGCCUAAAGCGUCCGUAGCUGGUUUAAUAAAUUUUCUGUGAAAUCGUUGGGCUUAACUUAACGGCGUGCAGGAAACACUAUUAAACUUGGAACCGGGAGGGGUCUGGAGAACUCCGGGGGGAGCGGUUAAAUGCUAUAAUCCUCGGAAGACUACCUGUGGCGAAGGCGCCAGACUAGAACGGAUUCGACAGUGAGGGACGAAAGCCAGGGGAGCGAACCGGAUUAGAUAUUGAGACUUCCGUCUCAAAAUUAGUUUCGUUUGUUCGUAACGAACACUACUAAACGAAAUUAAAAUAUCGGAAGUAUUAAACUCAACUAAUUACCCGAGUAGUCCUGGCCGUAAACGCUGCGAGCUAGGCGUUGCAGAAUCCUCGAGAUUCUGCAGUGUCGAAGUGAAGACGUUAAGCUCGCCGCCUGGGGAGUACGGUCGCAAGGCUGAAACUUAAAGGAAUUGGCGGGGGAGCACUACAACGAGUGGAGCGUGCGGUUCAAUCUAAUUCUACACUGAGAAUCUCACCAGAAGCGACUGCAGGAUGAAAGUCAGAUUGAAGGUCUUACUUGACGAGCAGAGAGGUAGUGCAUGGCCGCCGUCAGCUCGUGCUGUAAAGUGUCCUCUUAAGUGAGGCAACGAGCGAGACCCACAUCUACACUUGCUAACAACUUCUUUAGAAGGAUUGAGCACACUGUGGAAACUGCCCGGGAAACUGGGAGGAAGGCGUGGGCAACGGUAGGUCUGUAUGCUCCGAAUCUUCUGGGCUACACGCGCGCAACAAUGGUGGGAACAAUGGGAUACAACUCCGAAAGGAGAAGUUAAUCCUCGAAAUCCUAUCCUAGUCCUGAUUGAGGGUUGUAACUCACCCUCAUGAUGCUGGAAUUCGUAGUAAUCGGGUGUUAUCAGCGCCCGGUGAAUAUGUCCCUGCUCCUUGCACACACCGCCCGUCAUUCCAUCCGAGCCGGGUUUUGGUGAGGCUCAUUCAAUUUGGGUGAGUCGAACCUAAGCUCAGUGAGGCGGGGCAAGUCGUCACAAGGUAGCCGUAGGGGAACCUGCGGCUGGAUCACCUCCU